RNAcentral lists this ribosomal RNA (468 nucleotides) under uncultured bacterium. RNAcentral describes it as "partial 16S ribosomal RNA". It matches the Rfam family "Bacterial small subunit ribosomal RNA", at positions 28 to 507 of the family's 1533-position model. The record is from RNAcentral.
GACGAACGCUGGCGGCGUGCUUAACACAUGCAAGUCGAACGGAAAGGCCCUGCUUUUGUGGGGUGCUCGAGUGGCGAACGGGUGAGUAACACGUGAGUAACCUGCCCUUGACUUUGGGAUAACUUCAGGAAACUGGGGCUAAUACCGGAUAGGAGCUCCUGCUGCAUGGUGGGGGUUGGAAAGUUUCGGCGGUUGGGGAUGGACUCGCGGCUUAUCAGCUUGUUGGUGGGGUAGUGGCUUACCAAGGCUUUGACGGGUAGCCGGGCUGGGAGGGUGACCGGACACAUUGGGACUGAGAUGCGGCCCAGACUCCUACGGGAGGCAGCAGUGGGGAAGGGAGCACAAUGGGCGGAAGCCUGAUGCAGCAACGCCGCGUGCGGGAUGACGGCCUGCGGGUUGUAAACCGCUUUCGCCUGUGACGAAGCGUGAGUGACGGUAAUGGGUAAAUAAGCACCGGCUAACUACGUG